UACGUAGGGGGCAAGCGUUGUCCGGAAUCAUUGGGCGUAAAGCGCGUGUAGGCGGCCAGAUUAGUCCGUUCUGAAAGCCCGGGGCUCAACCCCGGGAGGCGGAUGGAUACUGUUUGGCUCGAGUCCGGAAGAGGCGAGUGGAAUUCCCGGUGUAGCGGUGAAAUGCGCAGAUAUCGGGAGGAACACCAAUGGCGAAGGCAGCUCGCUGGGACGGUACUGACGCUGAGACGCGAAAGCGUGGGGAGCAAACAGG
This 253-nucleotide ribosomal RNA is filed under the name uncultured bacterium. RNAcentral describes it as "partial 16S ribosomal RNA". It matches the Rfam family "Bacterial small subunit ribosomal RNA", at positions 524 to 776 of the family's 1533-position model. The record is from RNAcentral.